CGCAUAGGUCAUGUGCAUCUUAGUUUGGGAUAGCCAUUGGAAACGAUGAUUAAUACCAGAUACUCCCUACGGGGGAAAGAUUUAUCGCUAAGAGAUCAGCCUAUGUCCUAUCAGCUUGUUGGUAAGGUAAUGGCUUACCAAGGCUAUGACGGGUAUCCGGCCUGAGAGGGUGAACGGACACACUGGAACUGAGACACGGUCCAGACUCCUACGGGAGGCAGCAGUAGGGAAUAUUGCUCAAUGGGGGAAACCCUGAAGCAGCAACGCCGCGUGGAGGAUGAAGGUUUUAGGAUUGUAAACUCCUUUUGUUAGAGAAGAUAAUGACGGUAUCUAACGAAUAAGC
This 343-nucleotide ribosomal RNA is filed under the name uncultured Helicobacter sp. Its description in RNAcentral is "bacterial SSU rRNA". It matches the Rfam family "Bacterial small subunit ribosomal RNA", at positions 114 to 491 of the family's 1533-position model. The record is from RNAcentral. Lineage: Bacteria; Pseudomonadati; Campylobacterota; Epsilonproteobacteria; Campylobacterales; Helicobacteraceae.